GUGUCAGCCGCCGCGGUAAUACGUAGGAGGCGAGCGUUGUCCGGAUUUACUGGGCGUAAAGCGCGCGCAGGCGGCACUUCAAGUAAGGUGUGAAAUCUCCCUGCUCAACGGGGAGGGUGCACUUUAGACUGAGGAGCUAGAGGACGGUAGAGGGGGGUGGAAUUGCUGGUGUAGCGGUGAAAUGCGUAGAGAUCAGCAGGAACACCCGUGGCGAAGGCGGCCCCCUGGGCCGUACCUGACGCUGAGGCGCGAAGGCUAGGGGAGCGAACGGGAUUAGAUACCCUUGUAGUCC
RNAcentral lists this ribosomal RNA (292 nucleotides) under uncultured bacterium. RNAcentral describes it as "partial 16S ribosomal RNA". It matches the Rfam family "Bacterial small subunit ribosomal RNA", at positions 505 to 796 of the family's 1533-position model. The record is from RNAcentral.